RNAcentral lists this long non-coding RNA (342 nucleotides) under Olea europaea (common olive). RNAcentral's name for it is "long non-coding RNA (OEUR_LNC009266)". The record is from RNAcentral. Lineage: Eukaryota; Viridiplantae; Streptophyta; Magnoliopsida; Lamiales; Oleaceae.
GGGUGGGGGAGCAAACAUGAACAUGAUAGUGAAUAAUAGAGUAAAACUGCUUAGCAUUUCAAAUGCUCAGAAGAAAGCCAAUCUUUUACAGCCGCCAAGUCAGGUAAUACAGUAGCACCAGAUUUCCUCCAAGUUUCAGCUUCAGGUAUCUUAAAUCUGUCUAACAACAGAGCCUGCAUUCCCACGCUCUUCGCAGGAUAGUAGUCUUUGCGUAUGCUGUCUCCAAUGUGCAGAGCUUCUCCAGGUGCAAUAUUUCCAGCCCUUUCCAGGGCUAUCUGAUAUAUCCUCGGGUCUGGCUUCUCUACACCUUCGAGGCCUGAGAACACGCCAAAGUCCCACUCA